GUAAGGAAUAUUGGACAAUGGGCGGAAGCCUGAUCCAGCCAUCCCGCGUGCAGGAUGAAGGCCCUAGUGGUUGUAAACUGCUUUUAUUUGGGAAGAAAUCUGUCUAUUUAUAGGCAGUUGACGGUACCUUAUGAAUAAGCACCGGCUAACUCCGUGCCAGCAGCCGCGGUAAUACGGAGGGUGCAAGCGUUAUCCGGAAUCACUGGGUUUAAAGGGUGCGUAGGCGGCCUGACAAGUCAGGGGUGAAAUGUCAUCGCUCAACGAUGAAAUUGCCUUUGAUACUGUUGGGCUUGAAACAGGUUGAGGUUGGCAGAAUGUGGCAUGUAGCGGUGAAAUGCAUAGAUAUGCCAUAGAAUACCGAUUGCGUAGGCAGCUGGCUGGACCUGGAUUGACGCUGAGGCACGAAAGCGUGGGGAGCAAACAGGAUUAGAUACCCCGGUAGUCC
Molecule: ribosomal RNA, 445 nt
Filed under: uncultured Saprospiraceae bacterium
Lineage: Bacteria; Pseudomonadati; Bacteroidota; Saprospiria; Saprospirales; Saprospiraceae
Description: bacterial SSU rRNA
Rfam family: Bacterial small subunit ribosomal RNA
Source: RNAcentral